This 64-nucleotide transfer RNA is filed under the name Mecostethus alliaceus. Its description in RNAcentral is "Parapleurus alliaceus tRNA-Arg". Lineage: Eukaryota; Metazoa; Arthropoda; Insecta; Orthoptera; Acrididae. The record is from RNAcentral. RNAcentral also lists the same sequence under 1 other name.
AAAUAAGAAGCGAAAUAUUGCAAUCAGUUUCGACCUGAAAUCUUGGCAUUCAUGCCCUUAUUUA